Molecule: ribosomal RNA, 1570 nt
Filed under: Enterococcus faecium
Lineage: Bacteria; Bacillati; Bacillota; Bacilli; Lactobacillales; Enterococcaceae
Description: bacterial SSU rRNA
Rfam family: Bacterial small subunit ribosomal RNA
Source: RNAcentral
UUUUUAUGAGAGUUUGAUCCUGGCUCAGGACGAACGCUGGCGGCGUGCCUAAUACAUGCAAGUCGAACGCUUCUUUUUCCACCGGAGCUUGCUCCACCGGAAAAAGAGGAGUGGCGAACGGGUGAGUAACACGUGGGUAACCUGCCCAUCAGAAGGGGAUAACACUUGGAAACAGGUGCUAAUACCGUAUAACAAUCGAAACCGCAUGGUUUUGAUUUGAAAGGCGCUUUCGGGUGUCGCUGAUGGAUGGACCCGCGGUGCAUUAGCUAGUUGGUGAGGUAACGGCUCACCAAGGCCACGAUGCAUAGCCGACCUGAGAGGGUGAUCGGCCACAUUGGGACUGAGACACGGCCCAAACUCCUACGGGAGGCAGCAGUAGGGAAUCUUCGGCAAUGGACGAAAGUCUGACCGAGCAACGCCGCGUGAGUGAAGAAGGUUUUCGGAUCGUAAAACUCUGUUGUUAGAGAAGAACAAGGAUGAGAGUAACUGUUCAUCCCUUGACGGUAUCUAACCAGAAAGCCACGGCUAACUACGUGCCAGCAGCCGCGGUAAUACGUAGGUGGCAAGCGUUGUCCGGAUUUAUUGGGCGUAAAGCGAGCGCAGGCGGUUUCUUAAGUCUGAUGUGAAAGCCCCCGGCUCAACCGGGGAGGGUCAUUGGAAACUGGGAGACUUGAGUGCAGAAGAGGAGAGUGGAAUUCCAUGUGUAGCGGUGAAAUGCGUAGAUAUAUGGAGGAACACCAGUGGCGAAGGCGGCUCUCUGGUCUGUAACUGACGCUGAGGCUCGAAAGCGUGGGGAGCAAACAGGAUUAGAUACCCUGGUAGUCCACGCCGUAAACGAUGAGUGCUAAGUGUUGGAGGGUUUCCGCCCUUCAGUGCUGCAGCUAACGCAUUAAGCACUCCGCCUGGGGAGUACGACCGCAAGGUUGAAACUCAAAGGAAUUGACGGGGGCCCGCACAAGCGGUGGAGCAUGUGGUUUAAUUCGAAGCAACGCGAAGAACCUUACCAGGUCUUGACAUCCUUUGACCACUCUAGAGAUAGAGCUUCCCCUUCGGGGGCAAAGUGACAGGUGGUGCAUGGUUGUCGUCAGCUCGUGUCGUGAGAUGUUGGGUUAAGUCCCGCAACGAGCGCAACCCUUAUUGUUAGUUGCCAUCAUUCAGUUGGGCACUCUAGCAAGACUGCCGGUGACAAACCGGAGGAAGGUGGGGAUGACGUCAAAUCAUCAUGCCCCUUAUGACCUGGGCUACACACGUGCUACAAUGGGAAGUACAACGAGUYGCGAAGUCGCGAGGCUAAGCUAAUCUCUUAAAGCUUCUCUCAGUUCGGAUUGCAGGCUGCAACUCGCCUGCAUGAAGCCGGAAUCGCUAGUAAUCGCGGAUCAGCACGCCGCGGUGAAUACGUUCCCGGGCCUUGUACACACCGCCCGUCACACCACGAGAGUUUGUAACACCCGAAGUCGGUGAGGUAACCUUUUUGGAGCCAGCCGCCUAAGGUGGGAUAGAUGAUUGGGGUGAAGUCGUAACAAGGUAGCCGUAUCGGAAGGUGCGGCUGGAUCACCUCCUUUCUAAGGAA